CAGUAGCCGCGGGAACACGGAGGGGGCUAGCGUUGUUCGGAAUUACUGGGCGUAAAGCGCACGUAGGCGGUUAUUCAAGUCAGAGGUGAAAGCCCGGGGCUCAACCCCGGAACUGCCUUUGAAACUAGAUGACUAGAAUCUUGGAGAGGCGAGUGGAAUUCCGAGUGUAGAGGUGAAAUUCGUAGAUAUUCGGAAGAACACCAGUGGCGAAGGCGACUCGCUGGGCCGACACUGACACUGAGAGACGAAAGCUAGGGGAGCAAAUGGGAUUAGAUACCCCCGUAGUCCCUGUCUCUUAUAC
This 301-nucleotide ribosomal RNA is filed under the name uncultured bacterium. Its description in RNAcentral is "partial 16S ribosomal RNA". It matches the Rfam family "Bacterial small subunit ribosomal RNA", at positions 509 to 807 of the family's 1533-position model. The record is from RNAcentral.